RNAcentral lists this ribosomal RNA (119 nucleotides) under Lupinus angustifolius (narrow-leaved blue lupine). The record is from RNAcentral. Lineage: Eukaryota; Viridiplantae; Streptophyta; Magnoliopsida; Fabales; Fabaceae.
AGGUGCUAUCAUACCAGCACUAAUCCUUCGGAUCCGAUCAGGACUCCGCAAUUAAGCGUACUUGGGCGAGAGAAGUACUAGGAUCGGUAACCUCCUGGGAAGUCCUCGUGUUGCACUUC